Molecule: unclassified non-coding RNA, 252 nt
Filed under: Hevea brasiliensis (rubber tree)
Lineage: Eukaryota; Viridiplantae; Streptophyta; Magnoliopsida; Malpighiales; Euphorbiaceae
Source: RNAcentral
GAUUUCAAAUUUGAGGCAAAGGUACUUGCAGCAUUGACUUUUGGUGUGAUAUUUAAUAAACAGGCAUGAAAAGUUUUAAAAAGAAUCAUAGAUCUGAUUACUCAGAUUUGAUUUAUUUAACUAAAAUUGUUGCUGAAUUUAUUUUGAAUCUCAUUUAAAUCCAUUUGGUCCAUUUCUACUUCUACUCACAGUUCAUUAUUGCUAUUGGGAUGAUAAAUCUGAUUAUUCUUUUUCCCUUUUGCUUAGGUUGCA